UAAUGGACUUCAUCUUCUGUUUGGCCGAUAAAGGAUGAGAAAUUGUUAUUCUCAAAAGUGCAGUGGACUCAGAGUCCCCAAGCAUGCUUUGCAGACAGGAGUGGACUUGAGUCUGCCCAGAUUUCGCCAAGACACUUUCCGGUUAAUCCAUGUAGCUUCAGUUCCUUUGUGAGGUCAUUUUUGGCAGAGCGGGAACGCUUGAUGUCAAGCAGCAGUCGGGACAGAAGAGUUUACUGUUGCUCUGAAACCUUCCUCAUGGCAUGAAGGUCUUUGAAUGGAAAGAAUUACCUGAUUGACUCCAUCAAAAGUAUCUACCAGUAAGUCCAUUCAUUUAAAAAAAUACUAUCCAUGUCCAA
This is a long non-coding RNA of Peromyscus eremicus (cactus mouse), 356 nucleotides long. RefSeq lists it as uncharacterized. The transcript is spliced from 2 exons. NCBI's taxonomy places the organism in Eukaryota, Metazoa, Chordata, Mammalia, Rodentia, Cricetidae. The record is from RefSeq and is a predicted model, not a curated record.